GCUUCGUUGGUGUAGUCGGUUAUCACGUCGGUCUCAUAUAUUAUCUAUAUAUGACUACUCAACAGCAGUAGAGCCAUCCGAAGGCCGCCAGUUCGAAUCUGGCACGGAGCA
Non-coding RNA from Periconia macrospinosa, 111 nucleotides. The record is from the annotation of a GenBank genome assembly. Lineage: Eukaryota; Fungi; Ascomycota; Dothideomycetes; Pleosporales; Periconiaceae.